RNAcentral lists this unclassified non-coding RNA (377 nucleotides) under Hevea brasiliensis (rubber tree). Lineage: Eukaryota; Viridiplantae; Streptophyta; Magnoliopsida; Malpighiales; Euphorbiaceae. The record is from RNAcentral.
GCUUUACAAAGGCAGCAGCAGAUCCUAAAUGGCGUGAGGCCAUGGACGAUGAAGUAACAGCCUUAGUUCAAAAUAGAACAUGGGAACUUUUUCCUAGAAGUGAUGCUCACAAUAUAAUUGGGUGCAAGUGGGUAUAUCAAUUCAAACAAAAAUCUGAUGGCACUAUUGAUUGAUUUAUAGCUCGUUUAGUAGUAAAGGGCUUCCAUCAAUGCCCUGGCCUGGAUUUUUAUGAGACAUUCUCACCAGUUAUUAAACCCAUUACUAUUUGAGUGAUUCUUUCUUUAGCUGUGUCCUGGGGUUGGACAAUCAAGCAACUUGAUGUAUCAAAUGCAUUCUUACAAGGAGAUAUUGAUGCUACAGUUUUCAUGGAACAACCG